CACGUAGGGUGCGAGCGUUGUCCGGAAUUAUUGGGCGUAAAGAGCUCGUAGGCGGUGUGUCGCGUCGGCCGUGAAAACCUGCAGCUUAACUGUGGGCUUGCGGUCGAUACGGGCAUCACUGGAGUUUGGCAGGGGAGACUGGAAUUCCCGGUGUAGUGGUGAAAUGCGUAGAUAUCGGGAGGAACACCAGUGGCGAAGGCGACUUCUUGGCCUGUUCUUGACGCUGAGGCGCGAAAGCUGGGGGAGCAAACGGG
Molecule: ribosomal RNA, 254 nt
Filed under: uncultured bacterium
Lineage: Bacteria
Description: partial 16S ribosomal RNA
Rfam family: Bacterial small subunit ribosomal RNA
Source: RNAcentral